CAAACGACUCUCGGCAACGGAUAUCUCGGCUCUCGCAUCGGCAUCGACGUAGCGAAAUGCGAUACUUGGUGUGAAUUGCAGAAUCCCGUGAAUCAUCGAGUCUUUGAACGCAAGUUGCGCCCGAAGCCAUUAGGCCGAGGGCACGUCUGCCUGGGCGUCACGC
Molecule: ribosomal RNA, 163 nt
Filed under: Lomelosia songarica
Lineage: Eukaryota; Viridiplantae; Streptophyta; Magnoliopsida; Dipsacales; Caprifoliaceae
Description: 5.8S ribosomal RNA
Rfam family: 5.8S ribosomal RNA
About the family: 5.8S ribosomal RNA (5.8S rRNA) is a component of the large subunit of the eukaryotic ribosome. It is transcribed by RNA polymerase I as part of the 45S precursor that also contains 18S and 28S rRNA.
Source: RNAcentral